AGAACAGACCGUUAGAGGGGACAGACUGGACACAGGGCCCAAUCCAGACACACAGCCCUGGCUCGCCGGACAAGCCAGAUCAUCCGCAGCAUCGUUUACAGGAAGACAUCUCAGCAAAGUUAUCAACUAUAAGAAUCCUAGAAAGAGAAGCCAGGUUCUCACAACACGUACAGCCCGUUGGAUGCCGGAGCAAUUUGGCUUAAAAUGCCCCCGACGUGAGUUUUAUCUCUUCUUCGUUAUUUGCUGGCAUGACAUCAU
Molecule: long non-coding RNA, 258 nt
Filed under: Naja naja (Indian cobra)
Lineage: Eukaryota; Metazoa; Chordata; Lepidosauria; Squamata; Elapidae
Description: lncRNA (ENSNNAG00000005543.1)
Source: RNAcentral